AAUAUUGCACAGUGGGCGAAACCCUGCUCCAGCCAUGCCGCGUGGGUGAAGAAGGUCUUCGGAUUGUACAGCUCUUUACGUUGGGGGGAGAGGCAGUAAGUUAAUACCUUGCUGUUUUGACGUUACUGACGGCAUAAGCAGCGGCUAACUUUGUGCCAGCAGCCGCGGUAAUACGAAGGGUGCAAGCGUUGAUCGGAAUUACUGGGAGUAAAGGGCGAGUAGGUGGUUUGUUAAGUUGGAAGUGAAAGCCCGGGGCUCAACCGGGGAACUGCUUUCAAAACUGGCAAGCUAGAGUAUGGCAGAGGGAGGUGGAAUUUCCUGUGUAGCGGUGAAAUGCGUAGAUAUAGGAAGGAACACCAGUGGCGAAGGCGACUACCUGGACUGAUACUGACACUGAGGUGCGAAAGCGUGGGGAGCAAAC
This 421-nucleotide ribosomal RNA is filed under the name uncultured bacterium. Its description in RNAcentral is "partial 16S ribosomal RNA". It matches the Rfam family "Bacterial small subunit ribosomal RNA", at positions 360 to 773 of the family's 1533-position model. The record is from RNAcentral.